UAAGGUGGCUAUAACGCCGGGGAUCACCUCUUCCCAUUCCGAACAGAGAAGUUAAGACCGGUUGUGCUGAUGGUACUGCCCCAGUUGGUGGAAGAGUAGGUAGCCGCCUUUU
Molecule: ribosomal RNA, 112 nt
Filed under: Flavobacteriales bacterium
Lineage: Bacteria; Pseudomonadati; Bacteroidota; Flavobacteriia; Flavobacteriales
Source: RNAcentral